This 301-nucleotide ribosomal RNA is filed under the name uncultured bacterium. Its description in RNAcentral is "partial 16S ribosomal RNA". It matches the Rfam family "Bacterial small subunit ribosomal RNA", at positions 509 to 808 of the family's 1533-position model. The record is from RNAcentral.
CAGCCGCCGCGGUAAUACGUAGGUCCCGAGCGUUGUCCGGAUUUAUUGGGCGUAAAGCGAGCGCAGGCGGUUAGAUAAGUCUGAAGUUAAAGGCUGUGGCUUAACCAUAGUACGCUUUGGAAACUGUUUAACUUGAGUGCAGAAGGGGAGAGUGGAAUUCCAUGUGUAGCGGUGAAAUGCGUAGAUAUAUGGAGGAACACCGGUGGCGAAAGCGGCUCUCUGGUCUGUAACUGACGCUGAGGCUCGAAAGCGUGGGGAGCAAACAGGAUUAGAUACCCCUGUAGUCCCUGUCUCUUAUACA